UUAGAGCGCGAAGUGGUUGAUGCCAUGCUUCCAAGAAAAGCUCCUAAGCUUCAGAUAACUGGGAACCGUACCCCAAACCGACACAGGUGGUUAGGUAGAGAAUACCAAGGCGCUUGAGAGAACUCGGGUGAAGGAACUAGGCAAAAUGGCACCGUAACUUCGGGAGAAGGUGCGCCGGUGAGGGUGAAGCACUUGCUGCGUAAGCCCACGCCGGUCGAAGAUACCAGGCCGCUGCGACUGUUUAUUAAAAACACAGCACUCUGCAAACACGAAAGUGGACGUAUAGGGUGUGACGCCUGCCCGGUGCCGGAAGGUUAAUUGAUGGGGUUAGCGCAAGCGAAGCUCUUGAUCGAAGCCCCGGUAAACGGCGGCCGUAACUAUAACGGUCCUAAGGUAGCGAAAUUCCUUGUCGGGUAAGUUCCGACCUGCACGAAUGGCGUAACGAUGGCGGCGCUGUCUCCACCCGAGACUCAGUGAAAUUGAAAUCGCUGUGAAGAUGCAGUGUAUCCGCGGCUAGACGGAAAGACCCCGUGAACCUUUACUAUAGCUUUGCACUGGACUUUGAGCUUGCUUGUGUAGGAUAGGUGGGAGGCUUUGAAGUGGGGACGCCAGUUCUCAUGGAGCCAUCCUUGAAAUACCACCCUGGCAACCUUGAGGUUCUAACUCAGGUCCGUUAUCCGGAUCGAGGACAGUGUAUGGUGGGUAGUUUGACUGGGGCGGUCUCCUCCCAAAGAGUAACGGAGGAGUACGAAGGUGCGCUCAGACCGGUCGGAAAUCGGUCGUAGAGUAUAAAGGCAAAAGCGCGCUUGACUGCGAGACACACACGUCGAGCAGGUACGAAAGUAGGUCUUAGUGAUCCGGUGGUUCUGUAUGGAAGGGCCAUCGCUCAACGGAUAAAAGGUACUCCGGGGAUAACAGGCUGAUACCGCCCAAGAGUUCAUAUCGACGGCGGUGUUUGGCACCUCGAUGUCGGCUCAUCACAUCCUGGGGCUGAAGCCGGUCCCAAGGGUAUGGCUGUUCGCCAUUUAAAGUGGUACGCGAGCUGGGUUUAGAACGUCGUGAGACAGUUCGGUCCCUAUCUGCCGUGGACGUUUGAGAUUUGAGAGGGGCUGCUCCUAGUACGAGAGGACCGGAGUGGACGAACCUCUGGUGUUCCGGUUGUCACGCCAGUGGCAUUGCCGGGUAGCUAUGUUCGGAAGAGAUAACCGCUGAAAGCAUCUAAGCGGGAAACUUGCCUCAAGAUGAGAUCUCACUGGAGCCUUGAGCUCCCUGAAGGGCCGUCGAAGACUACGACGUUGAUAGGUUGGGUGUGUAAGCGCUGUGAGGCGUUGAGCUAACCAAUACUAAUUGCCCGUGAGGCUUGACCAUAUAACACCCAAGCAAUU
This 1385-nucleotide ribosomal RNA is filed under the name Pseudomonas mosselii. RNAcentral describes it as "partial 23S ribosomal RNA". It matches the Rfam family "Bacterial large subunit ribosomal RNA", at positions 1578 to 2925 of the family's 2925-position model. Lineage: Bacteria; Pseudomonadati; Pseudomonadota; Gammaproteobacteria; Pseudomonadales; Pseudomonadaceae. The record is from RNAcentral.